GCGGCGUGCUACCAUGCAAGUCGAACGAUGAUCCCCAGCUUGCUGGGGGGAUUAGUGGCGAACGGGUGAGUAACACGUGAGUAACCUGCCCUUGACUCUGGGAUAAGCCUGGGAAACUGGGUCUAAUACCGGAUAUGACCAUCUGGCGCAUGUCAUGGUGGUGGAAAGCUUUUGUGGUUUUGGAUGGACUCGCGGCCUAUCAGCUUGUUGGUGGGGUAAUGGCCUACCAAGGCGACGACGGGUAGCCGGCCUGAGAGGGUGACCGGCCACACUGGGACUGAGACACGGCCCAGACUCCUACGGGAGGCAGCAGUGGGGAAUAUUGCACAAUGGGCGAAAGCCUGAUGCAGCGACGCCGCGUGAGGGAUGACGGCCUUCGGGUUGUAAACCUCUUUCAGUAGGGAAGAAGCGAAAGUGACGGUACCUGCAGAAGAAGCGCCGGCUAACUACGUGCCAGCAGCCGCGGUAAUACGUAGGGCGCAAGCGUUAUCCGGAAUUAUUGGGCGUAAAGAGCUCGUAGGCGGUUUGUCGCGUCUGCUGUGAAAGACCGGGGCUCAACUCCGGUUCUGCAGUGGGUACGGGCAGACUAGAGUGCAGUAGGGGAGACUGGAAUUCCUGGUGUAGCGGUGAAAUGCGCAGAUAUCAGGAGGAACACCGAUGGCGAAGGCAGGUCUCUGGGCUGUAACUGACGCUGAGGAGCGAAAGCAUGGGGAGCGAACAGGAUUAGAUACCCUGGUAGUCCAUGCCGUAAACGUUGGGCACUAGGUGUGGGGGACAUUCCACGUUUUCCGCGCCGUAGCUAACGCAUUAAGUGCCCCGCCUGGGGGAGUACGGCCGCAAGGCUAAAACUCAA
Molecule: ribosomal RNA, 853 nt
Filed under: Actinobacteridae bacterium Control.14
Lineage: Bacteria; Bacillati; Actinomycetota; Actinomycetes
Description: bacterial SSU rRNA
Rfam family: Bacterial small subunit ribosomal RNA
Source: RNAcentral